GGCAUGACAUCACAUCACACAGACGUUUCCGAGCCUGGAGAACAGCCCUGCAGAGACUGCGGUGGGUCCCAGCGGUGGUUCCCCUGCGAUCAGACAUCUUAUCCCCUAUUCCCCUUUUCACAACAACUGGAGAGCCACAGGCCCUUAGAAACAGCCUUUGAAAAUCCAGCUGAGUGUGGCAAAAAACUACACAAACCAUGAGCCCCCCCACUUGUUUCCUGAAUAAGCUGCAGGGAGGGGCUGCCUUCAGAGAGUGAGCAGUCCAUAUGUUCCUCAGCCAAUCAGAGAAGAUCACACAUGUACAUCAACUGUAGACGCAUCAAGUGUGAUAAGAACUACUGGACUUCCUGCCUGGAGGAAAAGCUGAGCGAAACAGGCUGUUUUACUCAUAUCAUGUACCAGGUGCUGCUUUUCUGGAGAAUGCGCAGGGACCCUAACCACUGGCAGGGAGCCGCCUCGCUUGCUGCUAAUUUGGACUAAUUAAGGGUAACUAUGGAAGGAAGGAGGGGGAAGAUCCCAAAAGACACUCAAGGAUUGAGCGGCUGUGUAGGGAGUUGCUAUAGUAACAGGUUUAUUUUGGAUCAAUUGCUUGCUAACCUGUCAGUUGUCCAGACAGCCUAAUGAAAUGUUCACUGCAUGGGGAGAAAAUUGCCACAGGCAUGGAUAUCCUAAAGGAUGGGGAAAAUCCUUCUUGACUCCCAAUAUACACUGCUCAAAAAAAUAAAGGGUACAC
Molecule: long non-coding RNA, 733 nt
Organism: Hyla sarda
Lineage: Eukaryota; Metazoa; Chordata; Amphibia; Anura; Hylidae
Exons: 4
Source: RefSeq, a predicted model, not a curated record